CCUACGGGAGGCAGCAGUGAGGAAUAUUGGUCAAUGGACGAGAGUCUGAACCAGCCAAGUAGCGUGAAGGAUGACUGCCCUAUGGGUUGUAAACUUCUUUUAUAUGGGAAUAAAAUGUUCCAUGCGUGGGAUUUUGUAUGUACCAUAUUAAUAAGGAUCGGCUAAGUCCGUGCCAGCAGCAGCGGUAAUACGGAGGUUCCGAGCGUUAUCCGGAUUUAUUGGGUGUAAAGGGCGUGUAGGUGGAUUGUUAAGUCAGUUGUGAAAGUUUGCGGCUCAACCGUAGAAUUGCAGUUGAAACUGGCAGUCUUGAGUACAGUAGAGGUGGGCGGAAUUCGUGGUGUAGCGGUGAAAUGCUUAGAUAUCACGAAGAACUCCGAUGGCGAAGGCAGUUCACUGGACUGCAACUGACACUGAGGCUCGAAAGUGUGGGUAUCAAACAGGAUUAGAUACCCUGGUAGUC
RNAcentral lists this ribosomal RNA (460 nucleotides) under uncultured bacterium. RNAcentral describes it as "partial 16S ribosomal RNA". It matches the Rfam family "Bacterial small subunit ribosomal RNA", at positions 338 to 795 of the family's 1533-position model. The record is from RNAcentral.